UUUACAGUUAAUGCUUUGUCCUCUUUUUAAGAAGUCUUUAAGUACCUCAAGUUUAUGAAGAUAUAAAAUGGAUGAAUAUUGAAACCCAUUCCUUCAUCUCUGACACUUGACAACCUCUAAAGCACUCAAGACACAAACUUAAAAGUGUAAAGCAAAAGAUUUGUCCUACUUUGUAGAAGGCAAAGAGAAUCAGUCAUCUCUGUAAUCCUCAAGUGCCAAGGUCAUGGUUUGCUCUGGGAGAGCCCUGUGACUAGAAAGGCCCACAUUCCACCUCACCUAGCCAGUAAUGACAAAAAAGAAACACCAGACAUUAGAAGAGCAAGUGGAAUGCUCCUCAGGAAUCACAGAACAAAAAUGAAACUCGGGGUUGUGCAAGCCCUGAACAGAAAAGAUCUGCCCCAGAGUGAGAGAAAGGAACCUCUCCCAGCUUUCUAGAGUCUUGGUGACACAUUUCCAUGACCUAUAUGGUGUGAAACCUUACUUGUUACAGUUCUUGGCAGGGAGAGGAAGGAAUAUCUUAAGCAUCAUCCAACCUCUACCUGUGCUCACACAGAAUUUGGGCAAAGAAUCAAAGUGAUUCGUAUGCAGAUUUCUGGAAUUCUUUCUCUGCCUAUCUCCCACCUGUCCUUUAAUUUGUCCUCAAUUUCAAGGUAUCUCUGCAAUCUCUGUCUCUGCAAUUCCACAGGGACACUGUACUUUGUUUGAGAUCUAGACAGCGACUUCAGACAGAAAGUUGAACUCACAUAUGUUUCCCUUCUCACAGUGACCAGAGAUCUGUUUUCCCUGAUGGCCAAUGUUUGAAAACAGAUGUUUCAUAUAUUUGGUCAUUUUCUAAUUAUUUAUGAUGAGAGGUUAAGUCCAAGCCCAACUAUUCUGUGAUGGAAAGAGGAAAGUUCUGUAUUUAAACACUGACAUUUAAUUUCACCAUACUAAGAAACUGAUUUCAUAAUUUAAAUGAUCAAUUUAAAAAGCUAACAUUUAUCUAAUGGGUUUAUGACAAGAACAUUAUAACAUGUGUAUUUUUCAAAAUUUUUAUGGUAAAUAUUUGACCUAACUCAUUUCCUCUACUUUUCCUAGCUCCUCGGCCAAUUCACAGGUAUACAAAUAGCUUCCAUUCAACAAAUUUCAUGGGACUUCAAAAUACCCGGAAUACAUUGUAGUCUCUCUCCCUUUUUCUUUCAACAGUGUUUAUUCAAUAAAGUUUUACUGAGUCA
Molecule: long non-coding RNA, 1214 nt
Organism: Felis catus (domestic cat)
Lineage: Eukaryota; Metazoa; Chordata; Mammalia; Carnivora; Felidae
Exons: 7
Source: RefSeq, a predicted model, not a curated record